RNAcentral lists this small RNA (305 nucleotides) under Drosophila guanche. Lineage: Eukaryota; Metazoa; Arthropoda; Insecta; Diptera; Drosophilidae. The record is from RNAcentral.
GUACUGAUAGGUGCCCGAUGGUGGCAGCAACUGCGCCUGUUGGUGUGCCUGUUGCUGUUGUUGUUGAACAGAAGCAGCAGCAGCGUUGCCGUGUGAUUGAUGGUGUUGCUGCUGCUGUGCCGCUGCCGCCGAACUCACACAGGAACCCGUCUUGCCUCGUGAACUGCGUCGCAGGGACGAGUGCUGUUGCUGCUGCUGCUGUUGCUGCUGAUUGUAGCUCUGUUGCUGUGGCGGUGGCACAAAUGUGGCUGCUGUCGCUGUUGCUGUGGCUCCUCCACCACCCGUGUACCGAGUCAACUGUGGUG